This 21-nucleotide microRNA is filed under the name Lotus japonicus. RNAcentral's name for it is "lja-miR11105a-5p". The record is from miRBase by way of RNAcentral. Lineage: Eukaryota; Viridiplantae; Streptophyta; Magnoliopsida; Fabales; Fabaceae.
GUAAGAUUGGAUACUCUCACC